AAGUCGAACGGAAAGGCCUUUUCGGAGGUACUCGAGUGGCGAACGGGUGAGUAACACGUGGGUGAUCUGCCCUGCACUCUGGGAUAAGCCUGGGAAACUGGGUCUAAUACCGGAUAGGACCGCACUUUAGUGUGUGUGGUGGAAAGUUUUUUCGGUGUAGGAUGAGCCCGCGGCCUAUCAGCUUGUUGGUGGGGUAAUGGCCUACCAAGGCGGCGACGGGUAGCCGGACUGAGAGGUUGGUCGGCCACAUUGGGACUGAGAUACGGCCCAGACUCCUACGGGAGGCAGCAGUGGGGAAUAUUGCACAAUGGGCGCAAGCCUGAUGCAGCGACGCCGCGUGGGGGAUGACGGCCUUCGGGUUGUAAACUCCUUUCGCCAGGGACGAAGCGUUUUGUGACGGUACCUGGAGAAGAAGCACCGGCUAACUACGUGCCAGCAGCCGCGGUAAUACGUAGGGUGCAAGCGUUGUCCGGAAUUACUGGGCGUAAAGAGCUCGUAGGUGGUUUGUCACGUCGUCUGUGAAAUUCCACAGCUUAACUGUGGGCGUGCAGGCGAUACGGGCUGACUUGAGUACUAUAGGGGUAACUGGGAUUCCUGGUGUAGCGGUGAAAUGCGCAGAUAUCAGGAGGACACCGAUGGCGAAGGCAG
RNAcentral lists this ribosomal RNA (648 nucleotides) under uncultured Actinomycetales bacterium. RNAcentral's name for it is "bacterial SSU rRNA". It matches the Rfam family "Bacterial small subunit ribosomal RNA", at positions 59 to 724 of the family's 1533-position model. Lineage: Bacteria; Bacillati; Actinomycetota; Actinomycetes; Actinomycetales. The record is from RNAcentral.